This 468-nucleotide ribosomal RNA is filed under the name Paenibacillus ottowii. Its description in RNAcentral is "bacterial SSU rRNA". It matches the Rfam family "Bacterial small subunit ribosomal RNA", at positions 1 to 455 of the family's 1533-position model. Lineage: Bacteria; Bacillati; Bacillota; Bacilli; Caryophanales; Paenibacillaceae. The record is from RNAcentral.
UUAAUGGAGAGUUUGAUCCUGGCUCAGGACGAACGCUGGCGGCGUGCCUAAUACAUGCAAGUCGAGCGGGGUUACUUAGAAGCUUGCUUCUAAGUAACCUAGCGGCGGACGGGUGAGUAACACGUAGGCAACCUGCCCACAAGACUGGGAUAACUACCGGAAACGGUAGCUAAUACCCGAUACAUCCUUUUCCUGCAUGGGAGAAGGAGGAAAGACGGAGCAAUCUGUCACUUGUGGAUGGGCCUGCGGCGCAUUAGCUAGUUGGUGGGGUAAAGGCCUACCAAGGCGACGAUGCGUAGCCGACCUGAGAGGGUGAUCGGCCACACUGGGACUGAGACACGGCCCAGACUCCUACGGGAGGCAGCAGUAGGGAAUCUUCCGCAAUGGGCGAAAGCCUGACGGAGCAACGCCGCGUGAGUGAUGAAGGUUUUCGGAUCGUAAAGCUCUGUUGCCAGGGAAGAACGUCUU